Molecule: ribosomal RNA, 496 nt
Filed under: uncultured bacterium
Lineage: Bacteria
Description: partial 16S ribosomal RNA
Rfam family: Bacterial small subunit ribosomal RNA
Source: RNAcentral
AUGAACGCUGGCGGCGUGCCUAAUACAUGCAAGUCGAGCGAACGGACGAGAAGCUUGCUUCUCUGAUGUUAGCGGCGGACGGGUGAGUAACACGUGGAUAACCUACCUAUAAGACUGGGAUAACUUCGGGAAACCGGAGCUAAUACCGGAUGAUAUUUUGAACCGCAUGGUUCAAAAGUGAAAGACGGUCUUGCUGUCACUUAUAGAUGGAUCCGCGCUGCAUUAGCUAGUUGGUAAGGUAACGGCUUACCAAGGCAACGAUGCAUAGCCGACCUGAGAGGGUGAUCGGCCACACUGGAACUGAGACACGGUCCAGACUCCUACGGGAGGCAGCAGUAGGGAAUCUUCCGCAAUGGGCGAAAGCCUGACGGAGCAACGCCGCGUGAGUGAUGAAGGUCUUCGGAUCGUAAAACUCUGUUAUUAGGGAAGAACAUAUGUGUAAGUAACUGUGCACAUCUUGACGGUACCUAAUCAGAAAUCCACGGCUAACUACGUG